AACGAACGCUGGCGGCAUGCCUAACACAUGCAAGUCGAACGGGAUCCUAGCUUGCUAGGUGAGAGUGGCGGACGGGUGAGUAACACGUGGGAAUCUGCCUUUUGGUUCGGGAUAACCGCGGGAAACUGCGGCUAAUACCGAAUGCCCUCGAGAGAGGAAAGAUUUAUCGCCAGAAGAGGAGCCCGCGUCCGAUUAGGUAGUUGGUGGGGUAAAGGCCUACCAAGCCGACGAUCGGUAGCUGGUCUGAGAGGAUGAUCAGCCACACUGGGACUGAGAUACGGCCCAGACUCCUACGGGAGGCAGCAGUGGGGAAUAUUGGACAAUGGGGGCAACCCUGAUCCAGCAAUGCCGCGUGAGUGAUGAAGG
This 366-nucleotide ribosomal RNA is filed under the name uncultured bacterium. RNAcentral describes it as "bacterial SSU rRNA". It matches the Rfam family "Bacterial small subunit ribosomal RNA", at positions 29 to 414 of the family's 1533-position model. The record is from RNAcentral.